RNAcentral lists this unclassified non-coding RNA (276 nucleotides) under Hevea brasiliensis (rubber tree). The record is from RNAcentral. Lineage: Eukaryota; Viridiplantae; Streptophyta; Magnoliopsida; Malpighiales; Euphorbiaceae.
GGGACGCGCUUGCGAUGGAGUUUUCAAUAGCCAGAAGAAGACCGUGUGGUUCUCGCCCGGUCAACAACUGCAGAAUUGUUACCCCAAGUGCGUACGUAUCUGACUUUGGCCGGAGUGUGCCAGUUCUCUGAUAUUCAGGAUCCAUGUAAUGUAGAGUACCGGCAAGAAUGGUGUUUCGGUACUCCGUGACAUUGUCCGGCACAAUAUCGCCGAUGAUCUUAGCCAUUCCAACAUCUGAGAUUUUACUUACAAAGUUUCUGUCCAGUAAGAUAUUAC